AACCAGAAAGUCACGGCUAACUACGUGCCAGCAGCCGCGGUAAUACGUAGGUGGCAAGCGUUGUCCGGAUUUAUUGGGCGUAAAGCGAGCGCAGGCGGAUGCUUAAGUCUGAUGUGAAAGCCCUCGGCUUAACCGAAGAACUGCAUCGGAAACUGUUUUUCUUGAGUGCAGAAGAGGACAGUGGAACUCCAUGUGUAGCGGUGGAAUGCGUAGAUAUAUGGAAGAACACCAGUGGCGAAGGCGGCUGUCUGGUCUGCAACUGACGCUGAGGCUCGAAAGCAUGGGUAGCGAACAGGAUUAGAUACCCUGGUAGUCCAUGCCGUAAACGAUGAGUGCUAAGUGUUGGAAGGUUUCCGCCUCUCAGUGCUGCAGCUAACGCAUUAAGCACUCCGCCUGGGGAGUACGACCGCAAGGUUGAAACUCAAAGGAAUUGACGGGGGCCCGCACAAGCGGUGGAGCAUGUGGUUUAAUUCGAAGCUACGCGAAGAACCUUACCAGGUCUUGACAUCUAGUGCCAUUUGUAGAGAUACAAAGU
This 535-nucleotide ribosomal RNA is filed under the name Lactobacillus crispatus. RNAcentral describes it as "bacterial SSU rRNA". It matches the Rfam family "Bacterial small subunit ribosomal RNA", at positions 481 to 1014 of the family's 1533-position model. The record is from RNAcentral. Lineage: Bacteria; Bacillati; Bacillota; Bacilli; Lactobacillales; Lactobacillaceae.